Molecule: long non-coding RNA, 649 nt
Filed under: Homo sapiens (human)
Lineage: Eukaryota; Metazoa; Chordata; Mammalia; Primates; Hominidae
Description: EXTL3 antisense RNA 1
Source: RNAcentral
CUUUAUCUUUCCUAACCCAGAAACUCAAAACCUGGCAUCAUCUUUGACUUCUCUCUUUACCUUCACAUUCAACAGUUUCCAAGACUUAAAGGCUUUAUUUGUAGGAUCUCUACCACUGAUCCUCUACAGUUUCACACCUACAUCCCAUUCUCGUUCCCAAAUCCCCAUAACUCCUCUCCUGGCCCAUCCCUUAACACUGAAAUCCUGGCUUGGAAAAUAUGGUCACAUUCACAGCAGCUGUCCCCAAGAAGGAAGCCAAGGCAACAGUAUGCACAAUGAAAUCACUCUGGGAGAAACUCACUGCCAUGUUGUGACAACACUAUGGAGACGCCCAGGUGAGGGACUGAGGCUUCCUGCCAACAGCCACAUGAAUAAGAUUGGGAACAGAUCCUCCAGCCCCAGUCAAGCCUUCAGAUGACUGCAGUCUCAUGAAAGACCCUGUGCCAAAACCACCCAGCUUGAUGAAAUAAUCUGUACAACAAACCCCCAUGACACAAGUUUACUACAACAAACCUGCACAUGUACCCCUGAACUUAAAAGUUAAAACAAAACCACCACCACCACCACCACCACCCAGAAAAAACACCCAGCUAAGCCACUUCUGAAUUCCUAACCUACAGAAACUAUGAAAUAAUAAAUAUUUGUAUUU